AGCUUUGCGCAGUGGCAGCAUCGUAGCCAAUGAGGUUUACCCAAGGCGCGAUUAUGGCUAAUUGAAAACAGAAUUGAGGGUACUGUUAUUUCAGGUCUCAAGCUGUCAGGUCCCAAAGAAACCCUGGACAAGGCUCAUUCCU
Molecule: small nuclear RNA, 142 nt
Organism: Grammomys surdaster
Lineage: Eukaryota; Metazoa; Chordata; Mammalia; Rodentia; Muridae
Product: U4 spliceosomal RNA
Exons: 1
Source: RefSeq, a predicted model, not a curated record